This 360-nucleotide long non-coding RNA is filed under the name Trifolium pratense (red clover). Its description in RNAcentral is "long non-coding RNA (TPRA_LNC010382)". Lineage: Eukaryota; Viridiplantae; Streptophyta; Magnoliopsida; Fabales; Fabaceae. The record is from RNAcentral.
UAUAUAUGGUUAAGUUUAUGAAAUGAAAUAAUAUUAUUUAUAUUAUUUUAUUUCAUGAGUUUAUAUAUUUCUCUUUAAAUAAAAGUGUUUAAUUUGAUAGAGAAAAUCUCGACACAUCUUAUCUGAAUGUAAUUAAAGUCUAGAUAAACACAUAUGUAGAAGAGACACAAUUAAAUAAAGAACGACUAAGUUGUGUUAUUCUAUGAUAUAUUAAGGAUCCAUAAUUUUUUAACAACAAAACAUAUUAAAUAAUACUCCCUAGUAAAUAUAAUGAUGAUUUGUGAUUGUUAUGUUGUUUCGUAAGAAUAAGUAAUACUCUAUAAUAAUGUCCUAGUAACUUUUUCUUAAAAAAUAAUGUCC